RNAcentral lists this transfer RNA (71 nucleotides) under Bos taurus (domestic cattle). It matches the Rfam family "tRNA". From Rfam's summary of the family: Transfer RNA (tRNA) molecules are approximately 80 nucleotides in length. The record is from Rfam by way of RNAcentral. RNAcentral also lists the same sequence under 3 other names. Lineage: Eukaryota; Metazoa; Chordata; Mammalia; Artiodactyla; Bovidae.
CAUGAUGUGGCUCAGACGGUAAAGCAUCUGCCUGCAAUGCGGGAGACCUGGGUUUGAUUCCUGCGUCAGGA